AGUGAACGCUGGCGAUAGGCCUAACACAUGCAAGUCGAACGGCAGCACAGUAAGAGCUUGCUCUUACGGGUGGCGAGUGGCGGACGGGUGAGGAAUACAUCGGAAUCUACUUUUUCGUGGGGGAUAACGUAGGGAAACUUACGCUAAUACCGCAUACGACCUACGGGUGAAAGCAGGGGAUCUUCGGACCUUGCGCGAUUGAAUGAGCCGAUGUCGGAUUGGCUAGUUGGCGGGGUAAAGGCCCACCAAGGCGACGAUCCGUAGCUGGUCUGAGAGGAUGAUCAGCCACACUGGAACUGAGACACGGUCCAGACUCCUACGGGAGGCAGCAGUGGGGAAUAUUGGACAAUGGGCGCAAGCCUGAUCCAGCCGUACCGCGUGGGUGAAGAAGGCCUUCGGGUUGUAAAGCCCUUUUGUUGGGAAAGAAAAGCAGCAGGUUAAUACCCCGCUGUUCUGACGGUACCCAAAGAAUAAGCACCGGCUAACUUCGUG
This 492-nucleotide ribosomal RNA is filed under the name uncultured bacterium. Its description in RNAcentral is "partial 16S ribosomal RNA". It matches the Rfam family "Bacterial small subunit ribosomal RNA", at positions 29 to 507 of the family's 1533-position model. The record is from RNAcentral.